CUAUGACCCAAAGGUUAUGGCGGAAGGAG
The submitters of this non-coding RNA (29 nucleotides) gave its source as unclassified sequences. The record is from Rfam.